AGCAGCCGCGGUAAUUCCAGCUCCAAUAGCGUAUAUUAAAGUUGUUGCAGUUAAAAAGCUCGUAGUUGAAUUUCGAGAUCAGUACGCUGGUCGUGCCUUCGGUAUGCACUGGUGUCACUGGUUUCUCCCUUCUGAAGAACCGUCAUGUCAUUAAGUUGGUGUGGCGGGGAAUCAGGACUGUUACUUUGAAAAAUUAGAGUGUUUAAAGCAGGCUCGCGCUUGAAUACAUUAGCAUGGAAUAAUGAAAUAGGACGUUUGACCCUAUUUUGUUGGUUUCUAGGAUCGACGUAAUGAUUAAUAGGGAUAGUUGGGGGCAUUAGUAUUCAAUUGUCAGAGGUGAAAUUCUUGGAUUUAUUGAAGACUAACUACUGCGAAAGCAUUUGCCAAGGAUGUUUU
This 396-nucleotide ribosomal RNA is filed under the name uncultured Glomus. RNAcentral describes it as "SSU rRNA". It matches the Rfam family "Eukaryotic small subunit ribosomal RNA", at positions 569 to 970 of the family's 1831-position model. The record is from RNAcentral. Lineage: Eukaryota; Fungi; Glomeromycota; Glomeromycetes; Glomerales; Glomeraceae.